RNAcentral lists this non-coding RNA (99 nucleotides) under Caloramator quimbayensis. Its description in RNAcentral is "Guanine sequence". It matches the Rfam family "Purine riboswitch aptamer". Rfam says of the family: Riboswitches are metabolite binding domains within certain messenger RNAs that serve as precision sensors for their corresponding targets. The record is from RNAcentral. Lineage: Bacteria; Bacillati; Bacillota; Clostridia; Eubacteriales; Clostridiaceae.
AAUGAAAAUACAAAUCUUACUCAUAUAAUCCUGUUAAUAUGGGCGGGAGUUUCUACCGGGGGCCGUAAACCUUCGACUAUGAGUAAGGCUGCUUUGCAU